AGCACAAAAUGUCUUCUUCAUAGCAGAGAGUCGUGUUCCCCAUGCAGGGGAGAAAGGCCCAGAGGAGAAGGUCUAAUAUCAGAUGUGUGUGGCUGCUGCUCCCCUCUGGCUGCCUUCACUAGGAACUUUGCCGGCUCCUGAUUCUUCACGCGGGCCAUGCUGUGGCCAGACUGUGCUUCCUCUGCGGUGCCCUGCUCCCCAUGGACUCGACGCUCAUCUGAUGCACGAUGCUUUCCUAACGAGUUUCUAGCAGGUCCUCCAGAGACAGGACGGGAAGCAGGGUGUUCUCUUCUAUCAGCCGCUCGUGGAGAGUAACAGCUCAACAAUCACAGGACUUACACAAUAUGAAACAAUUCCAGCUCAUGAACCAUCAGACAGUGAUGGACUCCCCUGCUCUGCCAGCCAUGGCUACAGCUUUGACUGGUCAAGAGGCUGAUUGCAGUAACUUUCUUCUGGUAGGAGACGCAGACAUGACUGGAUCUGGCCAGUUUACAGAGGCUGCACCCUGAGGGCCGUCGUGUCCCCCUUGCCUUUUGACCUACAGGGCCUAAUAUAAUGCAUUUAAAUGUUAUGUCUCCACCUGCAAAUGACAAGGGAUGUGUGGAAUAUGCAUGUUUGCUUACCACGCAUGUGUGUGACUCCCCCAUCAUGAAUAUUCAUAACUCCUGUAACCUGUUACAUACGUAUCCUUGACCAACCAUUCAACAUAAA
This is a long non-coding RNA of Gorilla gorilla gorilla (western lowland gorilla), 711 nucleotides long. RefSeq lists it as uncharacterized. NCBI's taxonomy places the organism in Eukaryota, Metazoa, Chordata, Mammalia, Primates, Hominidae. The transcript is spliced from 2 exons. The record is from RefSeq and is a predicted model, not a curated record.